AUUUUCACAGCGAAGCGUUCGAGAUACGCUAUCGAGACUGGAUUUAUUCCGUUGAUGGAGGUUAGCGAGAGUGCAAAGACGAAACCCGGCGAACUGGAUUAUUUCUUUUUAAUUAAUAUGGCAGUGCCGUGGGCCUCGAAAGCAGGGUGCUGGAAUCGGUAGAACGAGGUAGAACGGCCGCCGUUUAACGAGUCAUUGGGAAAUUUUACGCGUAAUAAAUGCCUUUUGCGUCGAUCAUUUUGACUCGUAAUUAUUCGACGAACAUAUGGCUGUAUUAAAUUUGCUAUUUAUAAAAUAUAUAAAUAGUAAAAUAGUAUUGUAAUCUUAAACGUUAGAACGAUAUUGAAAUAUCAGAUAUUUAAAGAUCCUUGCGUAUCGAUUAUAGAGGGAGUAAAUAUCAAGCAUUAAGUAACUAAGUAAGUGCGUAGUGAAUAAUAAAAUAAUUAAAGAAACUAUGUACCUAUAUAUAUGUAUGUAUAUACAGUAAAGAUUUUGAAAUAUUGAAUAUUACAAAAAAUAUUUAGGAAAUGGUUCUAAAUAUAAAGAAAUAAUUGUGAUGUAAAAUUAUAAUCAUAAUUUAUAAUUGUAAGUAUAGAUAUAAAGAUGUAUUAAGAUGUAAUAAUUAUUAAGAUUUCCUGAUUCAAUAAUACGUCUUAAUCAAUUAUUUUUGCCGAAGUUGUAGUAGUGUAAUGGUUAACUAAUAUCGUAUUGCAGUAAGGCACGAAGGAUAUGUGAAGCACGAAUUGCAGUAAUACCUUUCUAAAAGCUCGCAUUUAACAAAAAGAAAAUAUGGUCUGCGCUAUGGGCUACGUAGUAAUUCCAUUCAACAGCGUUCAAGUAUUCGCAACUCUUAUCAACCUGUACAAAAACCACAUGUAUUCGUUCACGAAACGUAUUAACAAACUUCACGUUAUCACAAGCCAUUUCCAGGUAUCUGUACAGGCAUAAUUCUUCCCACUGUUUUCGAUCCUCGCUCCUGAUCAACCUUUCCUUUGUUCUGGCUGCGAAAUUAAUUUCGGGCGAUCCGUUCUCGGUAAUUAAACAGUGUAUAAAAAUGUGUGCACAAGAUAAGAGACACGCAAUGGUAUUCUCGAACAUUGUUGCAAAGAAACGGAUGCGAACCAGCGAGCAUGAUUACGUGCUUUCAUUCGUUUAUUCGUGGAACAGUUUCUUUUUCUCUUUGUGGUGAUAAUUUCUUGAUUAGCGAACCUAACCCUUUUAGUAGGUAAACCUUUAGGCGGCGUUGCUUGUGCAGCUAUUAUACCUACGGUACGAUACAUCUCAGCGAUAAAGCUGGUAUAAUAUUUUACGAGGACUAGAGAAACACGAUAAGUCAUAUUUUCCGUUUUUCAUGGAGCAGGCCUUUUUUGAGAUAAAAAGAAUAAUAUUUUAUGAGGACCAGAGACGCACGUUAAGUUAUAUUUUUUGUUUUUCAUAGACAAUAUAUAUUACACAAUGUGUUUUUAUUUAGUUUUACCGUUAAAUAUACAUCUUUACCACUCUCAUUAAAGGACGAUCAAAUUUCGAAACGAUUAAACUUGAUAUUAAUCUGGAUAUACUCCCUCUGUUUUUUAAGUAUUUUUCACGUUUUUAGUCGAGCAGAUUUCGACGAGUGGUAUUUGCACAAAUAACAAAAUUUCCGUCACUGAUAGUUUCGAUGCAAGACAUCGAUUAUUUAUACAUUUUUAUCCGAAUUCCAUUUAUUGGGUAGAAAUUUUAAUUAAUUUCAGAUUAGACGAACUCCAACCGACUGAAUGAACUUAUCCGAACACGAAUUCCUCUGGCGUGAAUGAAAAACUACAAUUAACGGAGUGAAUCCAUACAAACGUUAUAUGAACUGUUUACCUUCCGUGAAAUUCAGAUAAACGAAGGUCCGCUUUACACCUACACGGAUCUUUCGUGCAGUCGGAAAGGUUGAUACGUAUAAUUUGCUGUCUGAACAUUAUGCAACGGCGUUGCGUGAUGACACGACAGAAGAAGUUGAAGUUUCUUGACGGAGGCGCACGCGAGCUCAACAAUUAGCCCGACGCGCGUACACGUCGUCGAAUUUCUCGAAUUUAUCGAUCGAUCGCCUUGAUAGCUGCAAGACGAAUGAUCCUCUCUCGCUUUCCGUAAUUACUGCUCUUGAGACUGAUACGAUGCCUCUGUAAUCUUGUAGAUCGGAAUAACGAUCGAUGUUCGGCCAGGCAAGUUUUGAAUACAUAUUGUAGCGUGUGUAUGUGGUAAUGUGCGGACCACGUUCAAUUCUCAGCGGGUAAAUGGGAGAUGAAAUCGUGCUUCGUAUAAAUUUCGCGUAACUAUUAAUUCGCAGUUGCGAAAUAUUUCGGAGUUUACCACGUAAGUAUUUUGUACCUUAACUCAACGAAACGAAGUUCGUUUAGAACGAAACAGGUGACGACUAAAGUUACUUAAAUCUUUGAAUAUUUAAAAAUCAAUUUAGUUCGAUAUCUAUAUACAUAAAUCUCCAGAUACCCAAUGUUAUUCGAUUGUCUUGGAAACAUUGAAAUUUCUAAAUAUUGAAAAUUCAAUUGUCUGGAAAUAUCGAAAUCUGCAAAUAUUCGAUGCACGAAUAAGAUCUUUAAAUAAUUGAAACUUGAUUUUCUAGAUGUUGUCGGACUCUAAACUAUUUUUAAUUACUUUAAAAAUAUUGUAUAAUAUAAUAAUAAUAUAUAAUAAUAUAAUAUACUGUAUAAUAAAAUAAUCUCCAAAA
Molecule: long non-coding RNA, 2710 nt
Organism: Bombus huntii
Lineage: Eukaryota; Metazoa; Arthropoda; Insecta; Hymenoptera; Apidae
Exons: 2
Source: RefSeq, a predicted model, not a curated record